UUUUCUUUUUUUUUUUUGCCAUUGCGUUGUUAGUUUAUUUUCAAUCUAUGAGUUUGAAUGUCCCUCUGGUAUCUUUUGCACACCUUUACACAGUCGUUCAGUCUAUAUGUAUUCCAAAACCGGACAAUCGAUCUGUAAUCUCUCUACCGACAUACACAUAUUUAAUGAUGAUAACCACCUUCUAUUUUACGUCAUAUUUAAGCGUUCAAUUUCUUGCUGAGCAAAAAGGAAUAAAUAAAUCAAGC
RNAcentral lists this long non-coding RNA (245 nucleotides) under Mytilus galloprovincialis (Mediterranean mussel). Lineage: Eukaryota; Metazoa; Mollusca; Bivalvia; Mytilida; Mytilidae. The record is from RNAcentral.